GGUCUAAUAGUGUAGUGGUUAUCACAAUGGAUUCUGAUUUACGAGGUUUGUUAACCGCUGGUUAUUACCUUCCAUUAACCCAGGUUCGAGUCCUGGUUAGACCU
Molecule: non-coding RNA, 104 nt
Organism: Marasmius tenuissimus
Lineage: Eukaryota; Fungi; Basidiomycota; Agaricomycetes; Agaricales; Marasmiaceae
Source: the annotation of a GenBank genome assembly